This 553-nucleotide ribosomal RNA is filed under the name Bacteroidetes bacterium Jbg22. RNAcentral's name for it is "bacterial SSU rRNA". It matches the Rfam family "Bacterial small subunit ribosomal RNA", at positions 352 to 905 of the family's 1533-position model. The record is from RNAcentral. Lineage: Bacteria; Pseudomonadati; Bacteroidota.
CAGUAAGGAAUAUUGGUCAAUGGAGGCAACUCUGAACCAGCCAUGCCGCGUGCAGGAAGACAGCCCUCUGGGUCGUAAACUGCUUUUAUUCGGGAAUAAACCACACUACGUGUAGUGUGCUGAAUGUACCGAAGGAAUAAGGAUCGGCUAACUCCGUGCCAGCAGCCGCGGUAAUACGGAGGAUCCAAGCGUUAUCCGGAUUUAUUGGGUUUAAAGGGUGCGUAGGCGGCUUAUUAAGUCAGGGGUGAAAGACGGUGGCUCAACCAUCGCAGUGCCCUUGAUACUGAUGAGCUUGAAUACACUAGAGGUAGGCGGAAUGUGACAAGUAGCGGUGAAAUGCAUAGAUAUGUCACAGAACACCGAUUGCGAAGGCAGCUUACUAUGGUGUYAUUGACGCUGAGGCACGAAAGCGUGGGGAUCAAACAGGAUUAGAUACCCUGGUAGUCCACGCCCUAAACGAUGAAUACUCGCUGUUAGCGAUACACAGUUAGCGGCUAAGCGAAAGCGUUAAGUAUUCCACCUGGGGAGUACGCCCGCAAGGGUGAAACUCAAA